RNAcentral lists this ribosomal RNA (398 nucleotides) under uncultured bacterium. Its description in RNAcentral is "bacterial SSU rRNA". It matches the Rfam family "Bacterial small subunit ribosomal RNA", at positions 976 to 1380 of the family's 1533-position model. The record is from RNAcentral.
AGAUCUUGACAUCCUAAGAAGGCUAUAGAAAUAUGGCUGUGCCUACGGGAGCUUAGAGACAGGUGGUGCAUGGUUGUCGUCAGCUCGUGUCGUGAGAUGUUGGGUUAAGUCCCGCAACGAGCGCAACCCUUACCAUUAGUUGCUACGCAAGAGCACUCUAAUGGGACUGCCGUUGACAAAACGGAGGAAGGUGGGGAUGACGUCAAAUCAUCAUGCCCUUUAUGAUCUGGGCUACACACGUACUACAAUGGCUACUAACAAAGUGAAGCGAGACCGCGAGGUGGAGCGAAACACAAAAAGUAGUCUCAGUUCGGAUUGUAGGCUGAAACUCGCCUACAUGAAGUCGGAAUUGCUAGUAAUCGCGAAUCAGAAUGUCGCGGUGAAUACGUUCCCGGGCC